Lasiosphaeris hirsuta is the source of this 86-nucleotide non-coding RNA. The record is from the annotation of a GenBank genome assembly. NCBI's taxonomy places the organism in Eukaryota, Fungi, Ascomycota, Sordariomycetes, Sordariales, Lasiosphaeriaceae.
GCCGUUGUAGUAUAGUGGUUAGUACUUCUCGUUGUGGUCAUCAAUGAAGAUCCGAGAGGACCCAUGUUCGAUUCAUGGCAACGGCA